UGCAGUCGAGCGGACAGAUGGGAGCUUGCUCCCUGAUGUUAGCGGCGGACGGGUGAGUAACACGUGGGUAACCUGCCUGUAAGACUGGGAUAACUCCGGGAAACCGGGGCUAAUACCGGAUGGUUGUCUGAACCGCAUGGUUCAGACAUAAAAGGUGGCUUCGGCUACCACUUACAGAUGGACCCGCGGCGCAUUAGCUAGUUGGUGAGGUAACGGCUCACCAAGGCGACGAUGCGUAGCCGACCUGAGAGGGUGAUCGGCCACACUGGGACUGAGACACGGCCCAGACUCCUACGGGAGGCAGCAGUAGGGAAUCUUCCGCAAUGGACGAAAGUCUGACGGAGCAACGCCGCGUGAGUGAUGAAGGUUUUCGGAUCGUAAAGCUCUGUUGUUAGGGAAGAACAAGUGCCGUUCAAAUAGGGCGGCACCUUGACGGUACCUAACCAGAAAGCCACGGCUAACUACGUGCCAGCAGCCGCGGUAAUACGUAGGUGGCAAGCGUUGUCCGGAAUUAUUGGGCGUAAAGGGCUCGCAGGCGGUUUCUUAAGUCUGAUGUGAAAGCCCCCGGCUCAACCGGGGAGGGUCAUUGGAAACUGGGGAACUUGAGUGCAGAAGAGGAGAGUGGAAUUCCACGUGUAGCGGUGAAAUGCGUAGAGAUGUGGAGGAACACCAGUGGCGAAGGCGACUCUCUGGUCUGUAACUGACGCUGAGGAGCGAAAGCGUGGGGAGCGAACAGGAUUAGAUACCCUGGUAGUCCACGCCGUAAACGAUGAGUGCUAAGUG
RNAcentral lists this ribosomal RNA (783 nucleotides) under Bacillus amyloliquefaciens. RNAcentral describes it as "bacterial SSU rRNA". It matches the Rfam family "Bacterial small subunit ribosomal RNA", at positions 56 to 822 of the family's 1533-position model. Lineage: Bacteria; Bacillati; Bacillota; Bacilli; Caryophanales; Bacillaceae. The record is from RNAcentral.